UAUGCUAAUUCUGUUCUGCCUGUGCUCUGUGAAUGAAAGAACAGAGCCUGGAUGACAACACAUCUGCUUACAGCUUGGCUUAUUGAAUGUUUUAGGCCCACUGUUAAGACCUAGUGCUCAGGAAAAAAAAAGAUUCUUUUCUAAAAUAUAUGGUCUAAUUGACAAUGCUGGUCAUCUGAGAGCUCCGGUAGAGAAAUAUACAAUGAGAUUAAUGUUUUAAUGACUGCCGACAGAUCAAUUUUGCAGCCCAUGAAUCAAGAAGUAACUUUGCCUUUCAAGUCUUUUUGAGAAAACCAUUUUAUAAGGCUAUAGCUGCCGUAGAUAGUGAUUCCUCUGAUGGAUCUGGGCAAAAUCAAUAAAAAUCUGGAAAGAAUUCAUCCUUCUAGAUGCCGUUCAUGAUUCAUGGAAAGAGGUCAAAUUAUCAACAUGAACAGGAGUUUGGAAAAAGUUGAUCCAACCCUUGUGGAUGACUUUGAGGGAUUUAAGACUUGAGUAGAGGAAAUUACUGCAGAUGUGGCAGAAAGAGCAAGUGAACUCGAAUUACAAGCGGAGGCUGAGGAUGUGACUGAAUUGCUGCGAUCUCAUUUAGCCGAAGGGACGAGGAGCUGCUCUUUACAGAUGAGCAAAGAACAUGGAUUCUUAAAAUGGGGUCCAUUCCUGGGGGAGAUGGUGAAGAUUGCUGAAAUGACAGCAGAGCACUUAGAAUGUUACCUAAGUUAGUUGAUAAAGUAGCAACAAAGUUUAGGAAUAUUGACCCCAGUUUUUAAAUGGGUAAAAUGCUAUCAAACGGCACUUCAUGACAGAGAAAUCAUUCUUGAAAGGAAAAGUCAACCGAUGCAGCAAACUUCAUUGCUGUCUUAUUUUAAGAAACUGCCACAGCCACCCCAGCCUUCAGCAACUGCCACCCUGAUCAGUCAGCAGCCAUCAACAAAAGACCCCCUCCUCCACCAGCAAAAAGAUUAUGACUUACAGAAGCUCAGAUUAUAUUGAGCAAUAAAGUAUUUUUCAAUUAAGGCAUCGAUGACCUUCAAUAACUUGGUCUUAACUUGACCGCGAGGGCAGCUGCACUCAGCACAGAAGACUUGUACUGAGAGGUGGUACGGAAGGCUGUUUUUGGGCUUCGGAUUUCACUGGGUAAAGCCUCACCUCUCCUCCAUGAUGCCUCCUUCAUUCUGCCUUUUCUCCAAAACACAUCUUUAGGGCACCCUUCCUCCUUCCUGCAGCCCAGAAUUCCUACAUCCGUCAGGCUGUUCUCGGAUUAAUCUUCUGAUGUCUAGCAAGGUAAGAACUCAUAGUGGACAGUUUGCUACAUUCCUCAUACAAGCUCUCUCCAGUGUGC
This is a long non-coding RNA of Mustela lutreola (European mink), 1339 nucleotides long. RefSeq lists it as uncharacterized. The transcript has 3 exons. The record is from RefSeq and is a predicted model, not a curated record. Lineage: Eukaryota; Metazoa; Chordata; Mammalia; Carnivora; Mustelidae.